GGGCGCAGAGCUCAGUGGUAGAGCGUGUGCUUGGUAUGCACGAGGUCCUGGGUUCAAUUCCCAGUGCCUCAA
Molecule: transfer RNA, 72 nt
Filed under: Camelus bactrianus (Bactrian camel)
Lineage: Eukaryota; Metazoa; Chordata; Mammalia; Artiodactyla; Camelidae
Also listed under: 1 other name
Rfam family: tRNA
About the family: Transfer RNA (tRNA) molecules are approximately 80 nucleotides in length.
Source: Rfam by way of RNAcentral